GAAGGAAAUAUGUGUGGUUGAAUAAGAAUUUAUUAUGCCUCUGACUUAGGGGAGAUGGGCCAUAUUUGUGUCUUUCUACAGAGAGAGGAUGCUUCUCUUCCCAAGUGUUCUUAUGGACUGUUGCUGGGAUCUCCAUCCUACUACUCAGUGCCUGUUUUAUCACUCGAUGUGUUUUGACAUAUCACAUCUUUCAACUCUGUGAUGAGAAGGAGGACCAGCCAUAUGAGCUCAUAGAAUUCAACUGCUACAA
Long non-coding RNA from Myotis davidii, 250 nucleotides. RefSeq lists it as uncharacterized. The record is from RefSeq and is a predicted model, not a curated record. NCBI's taxonomy places the organism in Eukaryota, Metazoa, Chordata, Mammalia, Chiroptera, Vespertilionidae. The transcript has 2 exons.